UGCAGGCACGAAAUGGAUCACUAAUAUGAUAUGAAAUAAUAACUAGAAUGAUUUUUUUUUUUGAAGGAUGGAUAUGCAAACAAAGGAAACAGAUUCAAAAUGGCAAUUUUUAUGGGAUUUUUGAUUAUGAAAACAAAACAAAAAGGAAACUAACAAGAAUUUCGAAACUAAGUGCAAGUAACAUGAAUCAAACACAUCUUUCUUUUUCUUUUUCGUGGUGUUAAAAUAUGAUGAACAGCAAGAACAAAAAAAUGAAGAAACAAAACUUGAAACAAAGACUGUUUUUAUGGGUUUUCGGUUUAUAAGAUGGAAAAACAAAUGCAAGCAAUAUGAAUGAUUUUUUUUUUUUUUUUUGAAUGAAAAUAACAAACUUAUGAAACAAAUAUGGUAUGCACGAAAUUAAUAAAAUGCUAGGCCUUUUUAUUUUUAUUUUAUGCAAGAUUCAAACAAGAAACAAAUAUGGAAUGCAGAUUUUUUUAUUUUUUUUAAUGAAUGCACACAAUCUAAAAAUGGCAAGUGGAGCUGGGGAAUGAAUGCAAACACAAUAUGAGAUUUCUUUUUCAAAUUUUCGUGAAUCAAAUGCAAGAAACUUUUUCUCUUUUGUUUUUCUUUUCUUAAGAACAAUAACAAUGCAAAAACUGUUUUUAUGGCUUUUUGAUUUACUGAUGAAACAAAUGCAAGGAAGAUGAAUGAUGCAAGGAUAGAAUGGACCUGACUCAAGAACCUUUCGGCUCUGAUACCAAAUGUUACAGGGUGGAAGCUGGGUCGCCCAAAUGGUUGUUGGAGGUUCAAAUUGGAUCAACCAAAGAUGUGACCGGUUGGUCGAUAUGGUCUGAAAUCGAUUGUAAGACCUGAAACAAAUGAAAGAUGAAUGAGAUAUGAAUGUUAUGAAGAAUAAACUAAGAUAAAUAAACAAAGGUAAAGGAUAGAUAUGGCGGAAUCAAGCUGCUGGAUGUGUAUCACUCUCAGCUUGAUCAAAAGAUGGAUUGAAGUGGAUUUGCGGAUGAAUGUUUGAUUGAAUCUCUCAAUCUGAUGGAUGAUGGAAACGAUGUGAUUGGCUCUCUCAAUCUGUGUACUGAGCUUGUUUGAUUUUCACAAACAAACUAGAAUCACAAAAUCAAUAGAACAACAAAGA
RNAcentral lists this long non-coding RNA (1135 nucleotides) under Brassica napus (rape). RNAcentral describes it as "long non-coding RNA (BNAP_LNC021507)". Lineage: Eukaryota; Viridiplantae; Streptophyta; Magnoliopsida; Brassicales; Brassicaceae. The record is from RNAcentral.